GUCAGCUCGUGUCGUGAGAUGUUGGGUUAAGUCCCGCAACGAGCGCAACCCUUGAUCUUAGUUGCCAGCACUUCGGGUGGGCACUCUAGGAUGACUGCCGGUGACAAACCGGAGGAAGGUGGGGAUGACGUCAAAUCAUCAUGCCCCUUAUGACCUGGGCUACACACGUACUACAAUGGUCGAUACAACGGGAAGCGAAACCGCGAGGUGGAGCCAAUCCUAUCAAAGUCGAUCUCAGUUCGGAUUGCAGGCUGCAACUCGCCUGCAUGAAGUCGGAAUUGCUAGUAAUCGCGGAUCAGCAUGCCGCGGU
Molecule: ribosomal RNA, 310 nt
Filed under: Paenibacillus sp. Expt2_482H6_P1WS_A05
Lineage: Bacteria; Bacillati; Bacillota; Bacilli; Caryophanales; Paenibacillaceae
Description: bacterial SSU rRNA
Rfam family: Bacterial small subunit ribosomal RNA
Source: RNAcentral